CACGAAGGGGGCUAGCGAUGUUCGGAAUCACUGGGCGCAAAGCGCACGCAGGCGGAUCGAUAAGUCGGGGGUGAAAGCCCGGGGCUCAACCUCGGAAUUGCCUUCGAUACUGUCGGUCUCGAGUCCGGGAGAGGUGAGUGGAAUUCCUAGUGUAGAGGUGAAAUUCGUAGAUAUUAGGAAGAACACCAGUGGCGAAGGCGGCUCACUGGCCCGGUACUGACGCUCAGGUGCGAAAGCGUGGGGAGCAAACAGG
This 253-nucleotide ribosomal RNA is filed under the name uncultured bacterium. Its description in RNAcentral is "partial 16S ribosomal RNA". It matches the Rfam family "Bacterial small subunit ribosomal RNA", at positions 524 to 776 of the family's 1533-position model. The record is from RNAcentral.